RNAcentral lists this ribosomal RNA (497 nucleotides) under uncultured bacterium. Its description in RNAcentral is "partial 16S ribosomal RNA". It matches the Rfam family "Bacterial small subunit ribosomal RNA", at positions 28 to 507 of the family's 1533-position model. The record is from RNAcentral.
GAUGAACGCUGGCGGCGUGCCUAAUACAUGCAAGUCGAGCGAACGGACGAGAAGCUUGCUUCUCUGAUGUUAGCGGCGGACGGGUGAGUAACACGUGGAUAACCUACCUAUAAGACUGGGAUAACUUCGGGAAACCGGAGCUAAUACCGGAUAAUAUUUUGACCCGCAUGGUUCAAAAGUGAAAGACGGUCUUGCUGUCACUUAUAGAUGGAUCCGCGCUGCAUUAGCUAGUUGGUAAGGUAACGGCUUACCAAGGCAACGAUGCAUAGCCGACCUGAGAGGGUGAUCGGCCACACUGGAACUGAGACACGGUCCAGACUCCUACGGGAGGCAGCAGUAGGGAAUCUUCCGCAAUGGGCGAAAGCCUGACGGAGCAACGCCGCGUGAGUGAUGAAGGUCUUCGGAUCGUAAAACUCUGUUAUUAGGGAAGAACAUAUGUGUAAGUAACUGUGCACAUCUUGACGGUACCUAAUCAGAAAGCCACGGCUAACUACGUG